Molecule: long non-coding RNA, 1465 nt
Filed under: Monomorium pharaonis (pharaoh ant)
Lineage: Eukaryota; Metazoa; Arthropoda; Insecta; Hymenoptera; Formicidae
Description: uncharacterized LOC118648348, transcript variant X4
Source: RNAcentral
GCGCUUCCGUUUGAACAUCGGUGAAACGUCAGUUACCUCGCGACGAUCUUUCCGCGAGGACUUUGUCCGAUCGCGCGCUCGCGGAAACGUUCUCGAUUAUCUUGAUUGCGUCGCGCUCGUUUACAGCCAGUUCCCCCGUUUAACUUUAUAUGCGUAGAUUAGUUAACCUUGGCUGUGCCAGUGCUGCAAUCUUGAAAGAGAAACCGGAGCGUUGUCAGUUUUCCGGUUCCGAUUGUCUUUCCGGUUCUGUUCGACGGUUAACCGCAGUGUAGGAAGAGUUGCGUUGGACGCGCAUUACGAUUCUUCCCUUCAACUUUCGUUAUUUAAUACGUACGUUAAUUCAUCUUAGGUCUUUUUGUUGCUAUCGCUUGAAGAAGGAAAAAAAAAGAAACGAGAAAUUUAUUUUCCGGAAGAAACUUUUUGCCAAACGGAGUUAAAAUGGAGAUGCAGAGAUGAAAGGGAUGAAUAAAAAGCGUGAGUUCCGUAUGCGUUUUCAGCGUCAAGUUCGAGAUAAGAUGAAGAAAUAUUAAGAUUCGUAUCGUUUUCACAUUUCUCCGUUUCAUCCCGGAAAUAAUCGGGAACUAGCGUUACGCAAAGUGAUCUCGCUGUCGCGCCCGCAACUUGUCAGAGUUAACCGAAUUUGGUCGCUCCUGUAGACUCGUGGUGCGCCGGGGAUUUGCGACAAUUGGCACCAUGUCAGAGGUGAGACGCGGAGGGAAGUAUAAGAGAGGUGAGUGACGUCGUUGCCAACAGUCAUCAUCAGAUGUCGUCUUGGCCGCGAUUCGUUCGCGGCACGUUCGUGUCUGCCUGUGCAGCUGAUACGCUCGGCUCGUCGUCGGCGGCGAGUAGCGUUAGUGGAGUCCGAUCGAUUUGCUGAUCAUCGCGGAUCGGCGAAUUGGUGCUUCGCAUGUGACCCCAGUGCACGCGCGAUAACCGCGCUUCGCUCGCGCGUUUUCCAGUGGAAACUUCGAUUGCCGCGAUCGAUUCCUCGAUGCGGGCCGAAUAUUAAAUAUCCGAAUCUCUGGUGUAGGACGAGUUUCGAAUAGUCAUCCGGGAAAUAUCGGUGCGUCUGAUACACCAGCCAGCGUCUCCGAUCACGUUUGUUCGAUACGCGAUGUGAAACUGUGACGUAGAGAGAGAGAGAGAGAGAAAGAUCGCGAGCAGUGCCGCAGCAGGUGCAUAUUGAUUCGACGAUCGACAACGUUAUCGAAACGCGGAAGGAAUGGCGUUAUUCUCCGGUGGCGGUAGCGGUGCCGGUGGUGGCGGUGGCGGGCCGCCCAUUAAACCGGAAGAUAGCAUCCCUUCCAGGCAACGGAGUCUCAAGGAUCGGCUGCGAGAAGGAAUCACCGGCGGAUUCGCUUGGCAGUGAGUAAUCUUUAUGCUGUUAUUUCGUAUCUACCCGUGACAAAACGACUUUUGCAUGUGAGUACCUGUUGGAUUGAAAGAUAUGUAUUUUCACACGUAG